RNAcentral lists this transfer RNA (94 nucleotides) under Streptomyces tubercidicus. RNAcentral's name for it is "tRNA-Pro". The record is from RNAcentral. Lineage: Bacteria; Bacillati; Actinomycetota; Actinomycetes; Kitasatosporales; Streptomycetaceae.
GUCCGGCCUGGCCGAUCCGGAGCGGCUGGUGCUGUCGGGCGGCUCAUGGGGCGGCUAUCUGACCCUGCUGGGGCUCGGCACCCAGCCGGAUGCC